Molecule: long non-coding RNA, 200 nt
Filed under: Lathyrus oleraceus (garden pea)
Lineage: Eukaryota; Viridiplantae; Streptophyta; Magnoliopsida; Fabales; Fabaceae
Description: Pisum sativum (pea) long non-coding RNA (PSAT_LNC037919)
Source: RNAcentral
AUGAGGAAGAUUAGGGUUAGUCACUGGUUUUGGGGUUUUUGAGGACAGAUGAUAUGAAGUCUUGAGAUAGGAAGUGAUAGGGUUGGCUGAUGUGUCGAUGCAUGAGAGAGAAAGAAAUGUAUUUAAAUCAAAUAGCAUCAGUAUGUGUCGAUGCAAAUGGCCAUGGAUCGAUGCCUAUCAUUCACAUUUGUUUAUAACAG